This is a long non-coding RNA of Rhea pennata, 334 nucleotides long. RefSeq lists it as uncharacterized. The record is from RefSeq and is a predicted model, not a curated record. Lineage: Eukaryota; Metazoa; Chordata; Aves; Rheiformes; Rheidae. The transcript is spliced from 3 exons.
UAGUGGUCAGGGUGACCUAACCUCCCAGACAGCAUCCUAGGAACAGAGCAGCUUUAUGAAGUCCCCCUGACAGGAGAAAAAGGGAAAAUUCAAGUCUAGAAACACACACUUCCUUGGGAGCUCUGUUCAGUUUAUCAAGUUAACAGUGCAGUUCUGCAUUUUUUUGAAGGCCAAGAAUAGGAGUUGGAAAUUUGGGCACUGAUUCAACAAGCCUUGUCUUGCGAAUGUGGGAAACUUCUCAACUGUGAAGACCUGUGCAUAACAACAAAAUUUAACUUUCUGUUACUCCUUUGUUUUUCCUUUUACACAUUAAAUAUUUUCUAUCCUGACUGAC